This is a non-coding RNA of Triticum aestivum (bread wheat), 125 nucleotides long. Lineage: Eukaryota; Viridiplantae; Streptophyta; Magnoliopsida; Poales; Poaceae. The record is from Rfam.
AAAGUACUCCCUCCGUCCGGAAAUAAUUGUUGGAGAAAUGGAUAAAAAUGAAUGUAUUUAGAACUAAAAUAUAUCUAGAUACAUCCAUUCCUCCGACGAGUAUUUCCGGACGGAGGGAGUAACAC